Molecule: ribosomal RNA, 373 nt
Filed under: uncultured organism
Description: partial 16S ribosomal RNA
Rfam family: Bacterial small subunit ribosomal RNA
Source: RNAcentral
GUAGGUGGCAAGCGUUGUCCGGAAUUAUCGGGCGUAAAGCGCGCGCAGGCGGUUCUUUAAGUCUGAUGUGAAAGCCCACGGCUCAACCGUGGAGGGUCAUUGGAAACUGGAGAACUUGAGUACAGAAGAGGAAAGCGGAAUUCCACGUGUAGCGGUGAAAUGCGUAGAGAUGUGGAGGAACACCAGUGGCGAAGGCGGCUUUCUGGUCUGUAACUGACGCUGAGGCGCGAAAGCGUGGGGAGCAAACAGGAUUAGAUACCCUGGUAGUCCACGCCGUAAACGAUGAGUGCUAAGUGUUAGGGGGGUUUCCGCCCCCCUUAGUGCUGCAGCUAACGCAUUAAGCACUCCGCCUGGGAGUACGGCCGCAAGGCUG